Molecule: ribosomal RNA, 564 nt
Filed under: Kodamaea ohmeri
Lineage: Eukaryota; Fungi; Ascomycota; Pichiomycetes; Serinales; Debaryomycetaceae
Description: partial large subunit ribosomal RNA
Rfam family: Eukaryotic large subunit ribosomal RNA
Source: RNAcentral
UAAAAUAAUAUUUUUGCAUAUCAAUAAGCGGAGGAAAAGAAACCAACAGGGAUUGCCUCAGUAACGGCGAGUGAAGCGGCAAAAGCUCAAAUUUGAAAUCCCCCCGGGGAGUUGUAAUUUGAAGAUUGCGUCUUGGAGGCGACCGUGUCUAUGUUCCUUGGAACAGGACGUCACAGAGGGUGAGAAUCCCGUGCGGCACGGCCCCCGGCUCCUUAUAAGGCGCUCUCGACGAGUCGAGUUGUUUGGGAAUGCAGCUCAAAGUGGGUGGUAAAUUCCAUCUAAAGCUAAAUACAGGCGAGAGACCGAUAGCGAACAAGUACAGUGAUGGAAAGAUGAAAAGCACUUUGAAAAGAGAGUGAAACAGCACGUGAAAUUGUUGAAAGGGAAGGGCAUGCCGUCAGAUUGUCAGUGUGGGUAAGAAGCGGGGUACAAAGACUGUGGAACGUGGCCCUCGGGUGUUAUAGCCGCAGUUCAUGCCCCGUCUCUUUCCGAGGCCUGCUUUGAGGACACCGACGUAAUGACGGUACGCCGCCCGUCUUGAAACACGGACCAACUUGAUUGCAU